AUUGAACGCUGGCGGCAGGCCUAACACAUGCAAGUCGAACGGUAACAGGAAGAAGCUUGCUUCUUUGCUGACGAGUGGCGGACGGGUGAGUAAUGUCUGGGAAACUGCCUGAUGGAGGGGGAUAACUACUGGAAACGGUAGCUAAUACCGCAUAACGUCGCAAGACCAAAGAGGGGGACCUUCGGGCCUCUUGCCAUCGGAUGUGCCCAGAUGGGAUUAGCUAGUAGGUGGGGUAACGGCUCACCUAGGCGACGAUCCCUAGCUGGUCUGAGAGGAUGACCAGCCACACUGGAACUGAGACACGGUCCAGACUCCUACGGGAGGCAGUAGUGGGGAAUAUUGCACAAUGGGCGCAAGCCUGAUGCAGCCAUGCCGCGUGUAUGAAGAAGGCCUUCGGGUUGUAAAGUACUUUCAGCGGGGAGGAAGGGAGUAAAGUUAAUACCUUUGCUCAUUGACGUUACCCGCAGAAGAAGCACCGGCUAACUCCGUG
Molecule: ribosomal RNA, 490 nt
Filed under: uncultured bacterium
Lineage: Bacteria
Description: partial 16S ribosomal RNA
Rfam family: Bacterial small subunit ribosomal RNA
Source: RNAcentral